RNAcentral lists this ribosomal RNA (1247 nucleotides) under Rhodotorula sp. 'maule'. RNAcentral describes it as "SSU rRNA". It matches the Rfam family "Eukaryotic small subunit ribosomal RNA", at positions 539 to 1831 of the family's 1831-position model. Lineage: Eukaryota; Fungi; Basidiomycota; Microbotryomycetes; Sporidiobolales; Sporidiobolaceae. The record is from RNAcentral.
UUCAAUGGGGGCAUUUGGGCCCACAGCGGUGUAUUCCAGUCCAAUAGGUAUAUAAAGUUGUCCCGUAAAAAGUUGGAAUAGAAUUUGGGUCCUGUCCGCCGUCCCCUUUCUUGGUGUGUACUUGUGGAAGGGCCCUUACCUCCUGGUGAACGGCGAUGUCCUUUACUGGGUGUGUCGCAAACCAGGACGUUUCUUUGAAAAAUUAGAGUGUCAAAGCAGCCUUUGCCCGAAUCCAUUAGCAUGGAAUAAUAGAAUAGGACGCGCGUUCCCAUUUUGUUGGCUUCUGAGAUCGCCGUAAUGAUUAAUAGGGAUAGUUGGGGGCAUUUGUAUUCCGACGUCAGAGGUGAAAUUCUUGGAUUGCCGGGAGACAAACUACUGCGAAAGCAUUUGCCAAGGAUGUUUUCAUUGAUCAAGAACGAAGGAAGGGGGAUCGAAAACGAUUAGAUACCGUUGUAGUCUCUUCUGUAAACUAUGCCAAUUGGGGAUCGGCACAGGAUUUUUAAUGACUGUGUCGGCACCCGAAGAGAAAUCUUUAAAUGAGGUUCGGGGGGGAGUAUGGUCGCAAGGCUGAAACUUAAAGGAAUUGACGGAAGGGCACCACCAGGUGUGGAGCCUGCGGCUUAAUUUGACUCAACACGGGGAAACUCACCAGGUCCAGACACAAUAAGGAUUGACAGAUUGAUAGCUCUUUCUUGAUCUUGUGGUUGGUGGUGCAUGGCCGUUCUUAGUUGGUGGAGUGAUUUGUCUGGUUAAUUCCGAUAACGAACGAGACCUUAACCUGCUAAAUAGACCAGCCGGCUUUGGCUAGCUGCUGUCUUCUUAGAGGGACUAUCAGCGUUUAGCUGAUGGAAGUUUGAGGCAAUAACAGGUCUGUGAUGCCCUUAGAUGUUCUGGGCCGCACGCGCGCUACACUGACAGAGCCAGCGAGUCUACCACCUUUGCCGGAAGGCAUGGGUAAUCUUGUGAAACUCUGUCGUGAUGGGGAUAGAACAUUGCAAUUAUUGUUCUUCAACGAGGAAUACCUAGUAAGCGUGAUUCAUCAGAUCGCGUUGAUUACGUCCCUGCCCUUUGUACACACCGCCCGUCGCUACUACCGAUUGAAUGGCUUAGUGAGGCCUCCGGAUUGGCUAUUGGGAGCUCGCGAGAGCACCCGACUGCCGAGAAGUUGUACGAACUUGGUCAUUUAGAGGAAGUAAAAGUCGUAACAAGGUUUCCGUAGGUGAACCUGCGGAAGGGAUGCAUGGUCU